This 315-nucleotide ribosomal RNA is filed under the name uncultured Glomeromycotina. Its description in RNAcentral is "LSU rRNA". The record is from RNAcentral. Lineage: Eukaryota; Fungi; Glomeromycota.
GAUUGAAGUCAGUCGUACCGACGGAAAAUCAACUUUUUGAGUGCGGACUUGUGGGUUUACGUGAGCUUUACGGCCAUGUUGUUCGCAAUGUUCGUUCUUUUUGGGUGUACUUUUUCGUAUGGUUUGCCAAUGUCAGUUUCGAUUGCUAUAAAAUGACCGGCGGAAUGUAGCUUCGAUCUCGUAUUGAAGUGUUAUAGCCUCUGGUAGAUGUGGUGAUUGGGACUGAGGAUUGCAACGAAUACCUUCUGGGCUAUCCGUCUGAUCUUCUGAAAGUUGCUUAGGUGCCGAAAGCGUGCUUACGGUUAUUUAAGUGAC